CCGGGGUCCCGAGCGCGGCCGGCGGGGGAGGGUCGGGCGCUUGAGGGGAAGCUGCUGCCUCUGCGAAGUCGGCGUCAGAAAACCGCUGGAAGGUGGUGGCGGGGCAGCGUGGGCGUCUUACUGCUUCCCGCGAAAAAUGUCCUCAGACUCACGGACCGAAGUGUGUGGAGCCUUGGCGCUUUCACAAGUGCUUUGGUCACGAAAUGAGGUACUGAGAAUUGGGGCCUUUUGAGCCGCCCGGACCGACAAAUUCCCUACGUUUUUCUCCCUUCAUAGAGGCCCCCUCAGAGCCUCUGUGGAAGUGUCUCCAAGGAACCUUCUCGACCCUUCCUCGGUCAGAAUCGCUUGUUUCCUGUUCCCGAGAUGGCGCCACAGCACCGGGGAGUUGGGAGAGUUCAACUGCCCCCCAAACACAGGAAGACAAUGCCCUGAACCCCUCUUCCCGCUAGACUGGUUGCCCUUGAACCCACAGAAAUUCUGAACCAGCUCUCCUGGCCCUGGGGUGGUUCAUAGGUUUGACCCCCAAUGCGUGGCUGUCAGGUGAUGUUCCCCAAAGUGAACUUGUCAAAUUCCCGACUUCACAGUCACACCGUGUUCUCUGGGGCUGUUCAUGGAGCAGUAACGCCCUGGAAGUAAUUUUUGUAUUUGGUCCCAUGGCUACAAGGGCUUUGGUCUUAGGAGCGAUCGAGGACAGAUUGAGAGCUGAAAGAUCAUUUUCAGUUCAUCUCUCCCUCCUGAAGACAACAUCCUGGCAAAGGAAGGACAGCACGCGUGGAAGCAAGGAUUCCUCGUGUGUCUCCAAGUUUAAGUGAACGAAUCCAGAAGUAUGUAGAGUUGGUACCCAGAGUCUAAAUACCUACCGUGUUUUAUUCAGAUCCCACCUCUUUACAAAGGACAGUUCCUUCUUUGAGGGAGUUUAUAAUCCGGGCAGAUGAGAGUGACACGUGCAAAUCAGUAACACCAGGCUCUUUAUGAUAAAUGACAAGCAGCUUCUGGCCUUCUGACUUGAACCAGGAUAUUGGCUCUGCAGAUUUUUUACUUGCCAGCCUUCAUAAUCAUUUAUCGUUAGUGGGAGAGUUGUCUGUCACCUUAGUCCUCCAUUACCAGAAUCAUUUGUGGUCUGCUGUUGUGAUCUGUGUCACCCUGGAAGAAAACAGAGAGGGUGAGAAGACCCUUGUGGGCCAGAGCUGGGAAUUCUGACAUCUUUGACCCCUUCUUGCCAGAAAGACAGCACCCUCAGGUUCCAGGGCUGCUUCUGCACAGGUUUCCUUCCUUGUAAUGGACACCACUGGGCCAUACCUGGCUCAUUCUCUGCUAGGUUGUAAGGGUUUAGGGACACCUUCUUUGGGCCUGGCAUGCCCAUGUAGGCCUGAACUCUAGUCGGGCCAUUGAGAGGGCCAGAGUGUGAUGCCCUGGGAUGCAAUGCUCACCAUGCACUUGUCUGCAAUGUCUCAUGAGGGGCCAAGAGGCUUGUUUUGCCAACUUGAUGUGUCUUCCCAAGAAAGAAAAGCUACUACUCAUCACAUCCCACAAAUGGAUUUUAAAAAUUAGCAAGAUUUCCUCAUGGAGAUUAUGGAAUACUUGCUCCCAACAGGGCCCUUCACACACACACCCUCACACCUGUCCCACCAGCUUUGUCUCCCACCCUGUCCAGCACUCUGACCUCAUCCUGAGCCCCUCUUCUCCAGUCAUGCUGUACCCUUGUGCACAUCCCACCUCUGCACUUUUGCAUGUGUUGGGCCUUCUAUCUGGAAUUCCCUUCUUUCCCUCUCUACCUGGUGAGGGAUCCAUUUUAUUUAUUCUUUUUAAUUUCGUUUCUAUUAUUUUUACUUUUCAUUUUUGUUUAUUUUAAUUACUAUCUGAGAUGAAUACUUUUAUAAAAUACACUGACCAUGCACUUAGAUGUCAUGGCAGCAUCCAAUUGCUCUCGAAAUUUCUAAACGCUUCCUCUCAGUUUCUGCAGUGGGUACCACCCACUGAGUGGCGCUGCUCUAGACUCUCAUACGGGUCAUGUCCUCCAUGGAGCUGCUCCCUAGCCACCUCAGGUCGAACCAGUCGUUCCUCCCCUGGAAUUCCCUCCGGUGAGAAGCAAACACUGCAGAACAGUCGCUCACAGCCUUGUGAUUGCUGUGUGCGUCUGCCUCUCCGCUGGAUUCUGAGCUCCACGAGGGAGGAUGUUGUUUCUUAUUCAUCUCUGUAUCCCAGAGCACAGGCCUAGUCCAUAUUCAGAGCUUGGUCAGUAUUUGUGAUUGAAGAUAAUGCCACUUUGGAAAACUAAAUUCCUGUGGGAUUUUGGCUUAGUGCUAACCCAUGUACUAGUUUGCUUGCAAUAUCUCAUGGCCACAAUGGCAUAUCUGUGACUGAUAAGGGGGAAAUAGGGUAAGAGAGUGAGGAUGGACCAGGACACAGAGAGCAGACCCCAGGGGCUCUGCCUCUGGGCACCGUUGGCAGGACUGUAGCCCCUGACACGAAGACAGAGCCGUUGGACCAGGGCCAGCAGACCCCAGGAAUAAACAGUCACCAAGCUGGGGUGGGGGAUCUGCUUUACAAGGCGCUAACCCUGGGGGCGAAGACUUAGCAGGCAGAAGGAGAGGAAGGCCUCCUGAGUCUGGGCAGCGCAGGAGGCCUCAGGGGUAACCCCACGGGGGCUCAGAGGAGGGCCCUGGGGGUUUGCCCUGACCGGAGGAGUUACGUGUUAACUGUCGGCCUCAUCCAGAGGCAAGCCUCUGGUUUCCUUAGUUUCCUGAGCUGUUAUCUAAGAAUUAGAGAAUUAAAAAGAAGAUUCUGUGUCCUCUUUGGUGCUCCCUCCCUAAGCAAAUGGGGAGAAAAGGCUCAGCUUGAAUUCAGAGGUCAAUGGGGUUAUCACUUCUGGCUAAAACCCAAACUGACCUGGUCCUGAGAGAUAGAGAGCUGUGAGUGGGGAACUUUGCCCUCACCAAGGGCUGACUCAACUGGAUGCUUGAACACGAGGCCAAAAAAACAUUCCCAGAAUCUUUGGAGGUUGAACAUCAGCAAGUGGCACUGAGACUCCAAACCUCUGCCCCUCCCAACCUAAACCAAGUCCUUGAUCAUGAGUUGUCCCGGUUCACCCUAAUCAGACGGUAACCUUAUCAAUCUCCACGGUAAUUAAAAUAAAGGACAGCCUGCCUUUCCAUAGCACAGGGCUUGCAUGACCAUGGGCGUCACUGAACUUCCCUGAGCUCGUUUUCCUCACCUGAAAAUGCAGCUAUUUAUACCUACCUCACGGGAUAAAUUAGAGUGAAAAACAUGUACCACAUGUCUGGCUCUUGGGAAAGUAGAAGAAACCUGCAUUCCCUGGCUCCUGUUUCUGUAAGGGGCGAUUUCUGCUACAGCACUCGUUCUCAAACUUGCCCAUAUAUCUGAAUCACCUGGAGGGCUGGUUAAACCUCACAUGCAGGGCCCACCCCCAGAGCUUCUGCUUCAGUAGGUCUGGCGUGGAACCCAAGAAUUCGCGUUUCUAACAACUUCCUAGGUGAUGCUGAGGCGGCUGCUGGUCCAAAGGACCACAUUUGGGGAACCACUGCUCUGGAAUAGUGUUCUUUGCUUCUCACCUUUCCCUUGCUCCUCUCAUGGGAAGAGGAGUGGUUUAUCCUGUGCUUGGAAGAAGGAACAGGGAAGGCGGGGGUGAACCCCACCUGGUCUCCUUUUGGGUCUACCUGCAGGGUCGGUGAGCUCUGGUCGUUCCUGCCCUUGGAGUAGGGGCUGCUCCCCAGGGAGCAGGGCUGUGGUGGUUCAGUUCUGCAGGUACUUUUAAUUUUGGGGUGAAGUACAAGGAUGCUCAUGGUGGACACCCAUUAAUUCUCAAUCUAGAAUUGUAUCAUAAUAAAACUAGCAUUGUGACUUUUAUGUGUUUGUCUCC
This is a non-coding RNA of Kogia breviceps (pygmy sperm whale), 3880 nucleotides long. Lineage: Eukaryota; Metazoa; Chordata; Mammalia; Artiodactyla; Physeteridae. The record is from RefSeq and is a predicted model, not a curated record.